GCGUAUUCGUGGUGGUGGGCUAGCCACAUUCGAACCAAACAAUCCAAAUGGCUCGAACAAAGCCUGCAAGGUAAUCAAGAUUUUAGAUUAUGCUAACUUGAAUAUAGUUUGGAUAAUUUUACUUUACUGAUAAUUAUUAUGGAUAAUUGUUACGAAGAAUGCAAUAAAUAUUCUUCAAGACAGUGAUUAAUUGAGAUAUCUGGUUGAUUUGUUUUAUGUUUUAGAGAUGGAAGAGAAGGUGGAGUACAUCCUGAAGCUCUUUCAAGAAGAUGGAGAUUCUUUUAUAAAGAAGGCAGAAAUGUACUACAAGAGGAGGCCUGAGUUCAUAGAAUUUGUCGAAGAAUCCAGGCAUGCCUAUCGAGCUUUAGCACAAAGAUAUGACAAGUUAUCUACAGAGUUACAAAAUGCCAAUACCACUAUUGCUACUUGUCUGCCAGAUCAAGUUCAUUAUUCUAUGGACGACGAUGAUGAGGAUUAUAAUGUCAAAGGUCACAAAGCUCCAAAAGGUGUCGGGCCUCCAAAAGGCGUUGAGCCUCCAAAAGGCAUCCAACAGAGUGCACCGCCUCCAAAUGUGCCCAAAGUUCCUAAUGCUCCAAUCAAGUCCUUGAAGGGUAUUAUAAGUGACGCGUCAAAGAAACUGUCUAAGAAACCAACAAAACCAACUUAUGCGCAGAUUAAGCCUAAGCCUCCUCCCAAGUCUGGUUUGACAGAGGCUGAAGCCUCUGAAGAGGUUGAUAAGCUUCAGAAAGAUAUAUUAGCAUUGCAGACUAUGAAAGAGUUUGUGAAGAGUUCUUAUGAAAAUGGAUUAGAAAAGUUUCGCAAAAUUGAGAGUGAGAUUAUGGAGAAACAGGACAGGGCUAGUAAAUUGCAAGAUGAAUUUGGUAUAACAAGCGUGAUUGAGAAUAACGAUGCACGGGAUGUGAUGGCAAAAACAGCACUCAAGUCUUGUCAGGAUACGUUGGCUCAGUUGCAGAGUCAACAAGAUAAGUCUAGUGAGGAAGCUGAGGCAGAGACUAAAAGGCUUGAGAAGGCUCGUCUAAGAGUGAAAGAACUCAGAAAAAAGUUUCUCCCUGAUGAACCUUCUGAUAAUGAAACCUCUGAUCAGCACGAUGAUCCAAAGGCACUAGGUGGAGAGUCGACAAGCAUAAACCAGGAGGUUGGCCCCCAGCGACAGAAAUUGGAGGAAAUUAUAGAGACCAUUAAAAAACUUGAUGAAUCUAGUGGCUCUAUCACAGUGACAGAACUAGCUGAGAAGAUAAAUGAACUUGUGAAUGAGGUGAUCCAUUUGGAAAGUUCAGUUUCGUCUCAGACUGUUCUAAAGAACAGACUUAAAACAGAAGCGGAUGAUCUUGAGUCACACAUACAGCACUUUGAAGAUGAGAAAGAAACCACGAAACAUGGACCACCAAAUGUGAGUGAGAGAGUGAAAGAUUUGGAAAAGAAACUAAAAUCAGUUGAGGUUUUAAACCAGAAUGUUAAGACUAACAACAAUAACUUUCGAACACAUUUGUCUGUGGUCCAUAGUAGCCUUGAUAAAGUAUCCGAGAAGCUUCACACUGUAAAAUCAGAUGAAGAAGGAGAGCAAUCACAAGAAGCAUCAGAUAGCGAAGACAAGGGACCAGAAAAGACUAAAGCACAUGACAUACCAAAGGUUCAAAGAGAAUCACCUGAUGAGGUUGAAGGUGGAGAUAUAAAUUCUAAUAAACCAACCACUACUGAUAUAUCAAAUGAAGAUAUUGAUCCUGAUGACGAGGCAAACUUGCCACAAUUGCUCUUGAAUGGCGUGGAAGAUAAAGACAAGAUUCUCAAAAAAGAGUACGAUACAAUUAUAAGAAACUACAAAGAAAUCAAAAAGAGAAUUCUCAAUGAGGAGAAGACUAGUGAUGCCCUCUUUCAAACAACAGUACAAGUCAGAGUACUGAGGAUUGCUGUUGCUAAGAGGGACAAAGAAAUUCAAGCUUUGCGCGAUAAGUUACAAGAGAAUGCACCUGAAGCAGGAGUCGCGACAGUAGGUGAAGAUGCACAUACUCAUCCAGAAGAUGAAGUGGAGGAAGAAAUCAAUAGUUUGAUAAAUGAAUCCAAACCAGAAUCACCUUUUGAGAAGAAACUCAAGGAUCAGAUUGACGGGAUCCUGGAUGAGAACCUUGAUUUCUUCUUACGGUUUAGUACCACAUUUCAUCAAAUACAAAAAUUCAAAAACAGUAUAACAGAUUUACAGGAUGAAAUCUCCAAAUUUAAGGCAAGGGAAGCGAAGAAAGCAGAAGGAAAACCUGAUCAACUUGACAUUGAAUUUAAAUCAGAUGUACGCGCAGUAUUCAGGCAUCUCAAUGAAAUAAAAUCCGAAUUAAGAGUAUGGUUAGAACAGAGUGACUCACUCAAGGAAGAACUUCAAACCAGAUUUUCUUCACUAUGCAGUAUUCAACAAACAAUAAUAGCAGCUCUGAAGGAAGGUGUUGAAAAAGACGAGAUCGCGUUCACCAGUCAUCAAGCAGCAAAGUACCAGGGUGAAGUUCUGAACAUGAAGCAAGAGAACAAGAAGGUUAAUGAGGAGUUGCAAGGAGGAAUAGAUAAUGUAACUUCACUCCAGACUGAAUGUGAAGAUGCAAUAAAAAAAUUGGACGAGGCAUAUGGACUAACAGAAAAUGCUGCGAGGAAUGUUAACAAGCCUGGAAUUCCAUUACGCUCAUUCAUCUUCGGGAAUAAAGAAAAGAAGAAGAAGCCUGGACUG
RNAcentral lists this long non-coding RNA (2728 nucleotides) under Daucus carota (carrot). Its description in RNAcentral is "long non-coding RNA (DCAR_LNC004431)". Lineage: Eukaryota; Viridiplantae; Streptophyta; Magnoliopsida; Apiales; Apiaceae. The record is from RNAcentral.